This 709-nucleotide ribosomal RNA is filed under the name uncultured bacterium. RNAcentral's name for it is "bacterial SSU rRNA". It matches the Rfam family "Bacterial small subunit ribosomal RNA", at positions 140 to 851 of the family's 1533-position model. The record is from RNAcentral.
GGAAUAGCCUUUCGAAAGAAAGAUUAAUACCGGAUAGUAUACGAAUAUCGCAUGAUAUUUUUAUUAAAGAAUUUCGGUUAUCGAUGGGGAUGCGUUCCAUUAGUUUGUUGGCGGGGUAACGGCCCACCAAGACUACGAUGGAUAGGGGUUCUGAGAGGAAGGUCCCCCACAUUGGAACUGAGACACGGUCCAAACUCCUACGGGAGGCAGCAGUGAGGAAUAUUGGUCAAUGGGCGAGAGCCUGAACCAGCCAAGUAGCGUGAAGGAUGAAGGCUCUAUGGGUCGUAAACUUCUUUUAUAUGGGAAUAAAGUUUUCCACGUGUGGAAUUUUGUAUGUACCAUAUGAAUAAGGAUCGGCUAACUCCGUGCCAGCAGCCGCGGUAAUACGGAGGAUCCGAGCGUUAUCCGGAUUUAUUGGGUUUAAAGGGAGCGUAGGUGGAUUGUUAAGUCAGUUGUGAAAGUUUGCGGCUCAACCGUAAAAUUGCAGUUGAAACUGGCAGUCUUGAGUACAGUAGAGGUGGGCGGAAUUCGUGGUGUAGCGGUGAAAUGCUUAGAUAUCACGAAGAACUCCGAUUGCGAAGGCAGCUCACUAGACUGUCACUGACACUGAUGCUCGAAAGUGUGGGUAUCAAACAGGAUUAGAUACCCUGGUAGUCCACACAGUAAACGAUGAAUACUCGCUGUUUGCGAUAUACAGUAAGCGGCCAAG